CUGAAUUUUUUUGCUGGCUUAUUGCUGCUUUUGAUGCCUGAAGAAAAUGCCUUUUGGACCUUAAUGGGCAUUUUAGAUGAUUAUUUUGAUGGCUAUUUUUCAGAGGAUAUGAUAGAGUCUCAGGUGGAUCAACUUGUUUUUGAAGAGUUGGUGCGGGAGAGGUUCCCAAUUGG
Molecule: long non-coding RNA, 173 nt
Organism: Lathyrus oleraceus (garden pea)
Lineage: Eukaryota; Viridiplantae; Streptophyta; Magnoliopsida; Fabales; Fabaceae
Exons: 3
Source: RefSeq, a predicted model, not a curated record